ACCACGGUGGUCUAACGGUUAGAACGCCGGCCUUGUAAUCCUGGGGUCUCGGGUUCGAUUCCCGGCGGUG
This 70-nucleotide transfer RNA is filed under the name Zootermopsis nevadensis. It matches the Rfam family "tRNA". From Rfam's summary of the family: Transfer RNA (tRNA) molecules are approximately 80 nucleotides in length. Their secondary structure includes four short double-helical elements and three loops (D, anti-codon, and T loops). Further hydrogen bonds mediate the characteristic L-shaped molecular structure. tRNAs have two regions of fundamental functional importance: the anti-codon, which is responsible for specific mRNA codon recognition, and the 3' end, to which the tRNAs corresponding amino acid is attached (by aminoacyl-tRNA synthetases). tRNAs cope with the degeneracy of the genetic code in two manners: having more than one tRNA (with a specific anti-codon) for a particular amino acid; and 'wobble' base-pairing, i.e. permitting non-standard base-pairing at the 3rd anti-codon position. The record is from Rfam by way of RNAcentral. Lineage: Eukaryota; Metazoa; Arthropoda; Insecta; Blattodea; Termopsidae.